AGCCCGGUGGUGCAGCGGCCAAGCAUGGCGAGAGGCGGGUGAGGGCCAGCCCCCUCCCAUAAGGCUCUGGAUCCCUAUAGGGAGGAGAACCCCGCCGACGGGAGUUCGAAUCUCCCCCGGGCUACCA
This 127-nucleotide transfer RNA is filed under the name Candidatus Bathyarchaeota archaeon. Its description in RNAcentral is "tRNA-OTHER". The record is from RNAcentral. RNAcentral also lists the same sequence under 1 other name. Lineage: Archaea; Thermoproteati; Candidatus Bathyarchaeota.